RNAcentral lists this long non-coding RNA (1734 nucleotides) under Balaenoptera musculus (blue whale). RNAcentral describes it as "lncRNA (ENSBMSG00010014431.1)". Lineage: Eukaryota; Metazoa; Chordata; Mammalia; Artiodactyla; Balaenopteridae. The record is from RNAcentral.
UCCUAGUGCGUGACACACGGAAGUACUUAGGAACGUUGUCAGAUGAUGGAUGAAGACCAGGGAGGGGCUGUGAGAGCCUCUGCUGGGAAGUGGUAAAGCAGGGAGCCAAGGGACUCUGCAGUGAGGAACACUCAGAGAGGCCUCUGCCCUUCAUGAAGUCACGCAGGAGGAAAGGAAAACAGCUCUCCUUUUCAUUCCUUAAACAGAAAUACUUGUCCCCUUCGCUUAAACAGGUGGAAGAACACUGCUUGUCCUGCCCUGAGCAUGGAGAUUCCACGUCUGGGUGUGGGGUGGCCUCUGGCAGGCUGGACAGUUUGUUCUGUGCUUGAAAGUCUCAGCUUUCGUCUUCAUCAACCUAAAUCGGGCUGGUUCUCCUGCACAUCCCCCCCUCUGCAAACUUGGAAGGAGGGGCAUGCAGGCCAUGGGAGCCCCUGACCACCGGGAGCCUCAAAAGUCAGGGAACACACCCACCGCCGGCUGUCCUUGUGCUUCGGGACACUGGGAAGCUGGCAUACUGGUGGCUGGGGACAAGAGGAGCCUGUGGGAGAAGAGACAGCCAGGGGCUGCAGCACAGCCCUGCUGCAUCUGAGGAAGUCUCCCUGCCUCGGCCCUGCUCGAGGUGAGUUUGACUUUGUUGAUGGAGGAUGGUGGGGCUUUUUCCAAUUUUGUGGCAUCUGAGGAAGCUUUACAUCUUAAACAUCAGUUUAGAGUGGAUGGACCAAAGCUAAUUUUCUCCAAGGUGGGCUCCCAUGUGAAGAAACCCUAAAAACCCCAUUUACGGUGUAGGGCUUCCCGGACUAACCAGAAUGUCAGGGGUCUUUGCUUUUGACCGGAGUCCUAUCAGCUUAGGCCCUAUCAGUUUAGGGUUCUGGUGGUGUGAGUUCACUGUUGUAAGUUUCUCUGUCUGUGGAGUAUGAAGUAAACUCGUGAUAACUUAAUGACUUCAUUUUAUUCAGUUGACCCACUCUAAAACCCAGCACCCAGUGAGAAGGGGAGAACCAGGGUGCUAGGAUGGGGGUAUUUCCCUGGUGGGAUUGGCAGCUGAGGGUUCCACUCAGUCCCAGGGAGGGGCCGGGGGGCCUUCCCAUUGAUGUGCCUAUGCCAAGCUGGGUCAGCAAACUGAAACCCCUGGGAUCUGGGGAACAGGCACCACCCUGAGGCUCUGGGUCCCACCUCCACGCAGGAGCCCCUUUGGCCUGUUGCUGUCAGGCUUCCAAGAGAGAAUUUGAGGGGUAAGCCCCACGGCUUGCAGUCUUGUUUGGGAAGAGGCUGCACACCCACAUACAGAUUAGCACACAUCAUCAUGGGCCAAAGUGUAUACUACACACACAUACACACAGAUACAUAAGCACAGGGAUGCACGCAUCCCAAAAGGCAAAUUAUGUAAUAGUGAAGAGUACAUAUUCUAAAGCCAGAAUGCCCACCGUACUGCUUAGUAACUGUGUGACCUUGGGUAAGUUACUUAACUUCUCUGGGCCUUACUUUCCUAAUCAGUAAGAGGGGGAUGGUAAUGGGUUAUAAGUAAUGGGGCUAUAAGUGAAUUUGUAUCUGUGAGGAGUUUAGAAAUGUGCCUGUACAUAGCUAGGUGUUCUAACUAUUGUUCACCACAUAUUCUGUGCCCCAGAUAUUCAGGCCCAAGGGCACAAUACUUCCCAGAGAGGUGCUCACAAACUUGUCAGCGAAUAGGAUCAAUCACUUUGCACUUUCUGAGUCCUGAUUCUCAGGAUGUGUGGC